CCAAGGAUGACUUGCCGA
RNAcentral lists this non-coding RNA (18 nucleotides) under Arabidopsis thaliana (thale cress). The record is from RNAcentral. Lineage: Eukaryota; Viridiplantae; Streptophyta; Magnoliopsida; Brassicales; Brassicaceae.